UGCCUGUCGGGACCCGAAAG
Molecule: small nuclear RNA, 20 nt
Filed under: Arabidopsis thaliana (thale cress)
Lineage: Eukaryota; Viridiplantae; Streptophyta; Magnoliopsida; Brassicales; Brassicaceae
Description: snRNA_01042
Source: RNAcentral